GCUCGAAUUAUAAGUGGAUUAGACUGAGCAACAUGGGCGUUUCUGGUUGGUAUGGUUAACUCUUGCCUUUGUAUAAUGUUUUCCCGAAUGCACUUUACAUCUUAUUUCUAUUAGCAAAUGUACAUAAACAUUUGAUUCUUCCAUAAGUUUUAGUGACAAAUCUAUUAUGAUGCAGAAUUGAGGUACAGGAGGAAAGGGCAUUUGAAGGUAUAUGGUAUCCGUCUGGUGCUUCUUCCAUUGUAUAGUUGCUGAGCCUCUUUUACUUGUUUACAGUUGUGUUGGACAUCCAGGCCUUUUUAAUCUUUUGUAGAUGAUCCCGUGAUCCUUUUCUAGGCAAUCACUUCACUCGUCGUGCCAGCUUUGGCAACUACAGUGUAACUCUUUCUGGAGCUGAGUCUACAAAUCAUGCGAAGUUACCCUUUGAACUUGUUCAACAUGAUGUGAGGCCUUGGAAAAUAUAUUCAUGUUACCUUUAUUGACUAUUAUUCUUG
RNAcentral lists this long non-coding RNA (491 nucleotides) under Nicotiana tabacum (common tobacco). RNAcentral's name for it is "long non-coding RNA (NTAB_LNC015243)". The record is from RNAcentral. Lineage: Eukaryota; Viridiplantae; Streptophyta; Magnoliopsida; Solanales; Solanaceae.